AUUACGUGUAGUGCCACGAGGCAUAAUCGUAAAGAUUAAGAACGAUAAUAUCAAAUUAGGAUUGGAUAAUAAGGACUUAGACCGAAGCGGGUCUAUUGGAAUUAUCGUAGAAUAAUAAUUUAAAUGAAAAAUUAUUAUGCGAAAAUUGGAUUUAAUCAAGACAAAAAGGGAAUAAAAUAAAAUAAUUUGAAAAGCCAGAGUUAAUAAUAUUCACGUCAAGGUCCGUGAAAUAUUAUUAAUAAAUGAUCGUCAAGUUUCGUAAGUAUACAAAAUCGUUUUAGAAGAAAGUUUGACGAUUAGUUAAGAAUAAGGGUUAAAGUGCAAAUUAGCCACUUUAAGGACUAAAGUGGACUUUUAACCACAAACUUCCGGAGGAAGUUGUGUUUUACUCUAUUUUCUCAAGAUAAGAAAAUAAUAUCGGUAAAGUUGUUAUUGAUAGUCAUUAAAAUGAAAAUUGGACGAAAAAGUGAGAAAAAGUGCAAGUUAGCUCAAAAUGGAAAUUUGAGCGUUUUUGGCCAAAAUUGCCAAAAUAAAUUGUUGGAGGGUGAUAUUAUAAGGUAUGAUACUAUUGUUAUUUAUUUGGGAAAUAAAUAAUACGGAAUUUAUCGAGAUUGAAUGAUUAAGUGAUUGAUGGACUAAAUCGGACAAAAUAAAAGUUAGAAAGUGAAGUAAAAGGAGGUGACAACUUCAAGGACUAAAAGAGACUCUUUCCCCACUUAUUAUCAUCAAUUAAGAAUGAAUAUUCAUUCAUUCAAAACAGAAAUUGCAGCCAAGAUCCGUAACUCUCCUUCUCCAUUUCUCUCCAAAUUUCACAUGUCCAUAACUUUCUCGUUUCUCAACGAAAUUGAGCGAUUCUUGCGGCCACGGAACGAGAAAACGAUUAUCUACAGAUAUGUGGCAUCAAUUUGAGUGAGUUUAUAAGCUUAAAUUGGAUGCAAAAUGAUGAUGGAGAUAAGGUUUUCAAGGUGAAAUUGAGCUUUAAUGGAGGAUUGUUCAUGAUGAAUUGAAGCUUGGAAACUUCGGCCAUGGAGUAUCUUUAAGAUCGGACGAGCGACUAUCGAAAAGGUUUGAGGCAAACGGAUCGAGAUAUCGUCAUAAUUAUUUGAAGAAUUUGGAUAGCAAGUGGGAUAGCAUGAUAUUAUUUGGAAAGUCAAGCUUCCGAAGUUUUAAUUCUCGGAAGUCAUUUGCACAAGAAGUGAAAGAAGGUUUUCAUUCUAGCAGUCCGCAGUAGUCUAGAUGUUUUUGUCUAUGUAUUUGACUAGCGCAUUUUAACUCUGAUAUUUUUGUAAAAUGGGGUCACAUGUAUUUUGAUAAAUGAAAAAAAUGAUUUGAUUUGCGAAAAAUUUACACAGGUUUUUAGGCUUGCUACGGGUUUCGGAGCUACCACUCCCAUUCCCUAGCGCCGGUUGCGGCUCGAGAAAUCGGGUCGUGACAAAGGUGGUAUCAGAGCAAUGGUUUAGAAUUCCUAGGCCAUUGUUCUUUUAUGAUUGAAGUAUAGGAAAGUGUCGAUCAAUAUAUAGGAACUACUGCGGAUUAUAGGGAUUUCCAGUCAUGUCUUUUGAACGUUAUCAAUGUUUUCAUCGAUUUUUCAAACGUUUUACAAAGACGUCCCCUCCUAUAUGUGCUAUUAGGAGUCGAGUUAGAUGUGUGCGCGAGCACAAUAUAUGUUUGUGUUUACUCGAGUAAGCAAUACGCUUUCGAGUAUCUAUAGUCUGCGAAGAGUUAUAUACUCUCGAGACUCAUAUGAUAAAAGAAUAUCGUUAUGGACUAUGAUUGAAUUAAUUGAUUUAAUAGUAUAUGAUUGAUGAGAUAUGCGAUGCGUUACUAGACACGAUCACUCAGGAGAGUGAUAUGCUCACAGGUAUGUAAGCCUGUGAUAAUUUAUACGAUACAUAAAAUUUAUAUAUUGUAAUCGAUUGUUAUGAAUAGAAAUAGUUUCUUAUGGUUCAAUGAUGAAAGUUUGCUAAGCCUAUGCUGGGCGAAAUGCUCUCAAGACUUAAGAAAGGCGACAUAGUCGGAUUUAUAGGAAAGAUAGAUAAGGGAAGGCAGCCAAAAGGGCUAGCACUAUUAGUUUGUCAUCGGAACAAGGAAGUUCAAACUAUGCAAGUUUCAUACACUCGUUAUGCGAUAGGAGAUGCUCGACUAGCUGUCAAGCUAGGACAUACAUAUGUCUUCGAUGUGGACAACAAGGUUACCACGUGAAGGAAUGCCCACAUCCCGAGUAGUUUGAUACCACGGGAAACACGAAACAAUCUUUUUCCUAAAAGACGGAGUUUGUCGCGACGACUUCUAGUUAGACACAACCAGAUAUACGAUGUAAUCGAGACAAACAUCAUGAAGUCCAAACACUAGAAGCUCGAAAGUGAUCAGACCUUUUGAGCUAGCCUAGUGUAAACGCGAACGUUUAGGACGUGUCUUUUGAAUGACGUCAGAAUCAGAUGAAUAGAGUUACAUCUUUACAUGUGUAAAGAAUGUAAAUAGUUGCGAACGAUAGAAAGAUAGUUAAUAGAUAGUGCAGAGUCGUAUGUCGAGAGAAACUUACGUAAACCCCAUUUUAUGAAAGGAAAGGUAUUUGAUCGAAAUAAAAUGUUUUGAAAAGACAUAAUUGUGCCCGGACACGAUUCAUAACAACAUCGCAUUGACACGAAUAGAAUUACAUCACUACAUCCAUAUUGCAUUCACUAAUAGGACAUGCAUCAUAUACAUUGUGUGUCUGAAAAGAAAAGAGGAGUGUCAUUGCAACUCUUGUGAUGAGAGAAGUCAUCACACCGGCGCACAAUUAUGACAUGAUUUGAGAAAUGAAAGGUAUCAUGGUUUUAAGCGGAUAAGUUUUUAAACGUAAGUAAGCUCAGACAGGGACUCUGUAUAUAGAGGCAUAGGACAAGACUGAUCAUCUUGUUAGGCCUAUAUGAAAACAUACGUAUGUAACACGACAAGUAUAUAGAACGACGAGUAGUGUAAUGCGAAUCGCAACGUAUUGAGAUUUGAAUUGCAAAUCUCUAAGGUGGUCUUGUAUAUUAAAUACAAGAACAACGACGCUACUUUACAAACAUGUAAAGUGACAGCGGACGUGUUUAAAUUCGAAGCACGUUUACCUCUAGGACGAGGAAAUCGAACAUAGAAGUUAGUUACGUUAGGGGAUAUGAACCCUACGAACAAACAUACGUUGUUCAAAAAGGUCGAAUAAAGAGAAUUGAUUCAUAAUAAUUAUGAAUCAAGUAGUAAUAAGAUGGUUAUGAUGGUUAGCAUAAGAAGUUACUCGAUAAGUAUAUCGAGACACUUUCACCUAAAAACAGUAUUAGAUGAAUGAUUGUGUAAACCUAACUAUAAAGUUAACAGUUGGUGAAUAAUUAAUCAGAGUACCGCAGCGGAAGUAUGGAAGGAAGUGAAUGAUAAAGUUUGAUUAAGUGAUAUUAGAAGAUUAUGAAAAUUCGAGGACGAAUUUUUAUAAGGAGGGAAGAUUGUAAUAACCUAAAUUUUUGAGGUAUUACGUGUAGUUCCACGAGGCAUAAUCGUAAAGAUUAAGAACGAUAAUAUCAAAUUAGGAUUGGAUAAUAAGGACUUAGACCGAAGCGGGUCUAUUGGAAUUAUCGUAGAAUAAUAAUUUAAAUGAAAAAUUAUUAUGCGAAAAUUGGAUUUAAUCAAGACAAAAAGGGAAUAAAAUAAAAUAAUUUGAAAAGCCAGAGUUAAUAAUAUUCACGUCAAGGUCCGUGAAAUAUUAUUAAUAAAUGAUCGUCAAGUUUCGUAAGUAUACAAAAUCGUUUUAGAAGAAAGUUUGACGAUUAGUUAAGAAUAAGGGUUAAAGUGCAAAUUAGCCACUUUAAGGACUAAAGUGGACUUUUAACCACAAACUUCCGGAGGAAGUUGUGUUUUACUCUAUUUUCUCAAGAUAAGAAAAUAAUAUCGGUAAAGUUGUUAUUGAUAGUCAUUAAAAUGAAAAUUGGACGAAAAAGUGAGAAAAAGUGCAAGUUAGCUCAAAAUGGAAAUUUGAGCGUUUUUGGCCAAAAUUGCCAAAAUAAAUUGUUGGAGGGUGAUAUUAUAAGGUAUGAUACUAUUGUUAUUUAUUUGGGAAAUAAAUAAUACGGAAUUUAUCGAGAUUGAAUGAUUAAGUGAUUGAUGGACUAAAUCGGACAAAAUAAAAGUUAGAAAGUGAAGUAAAAGGAGGUGGCAACUUCAAGGACUAAAAGAGACUCUUUCCCCACUUAUUAUCAUCAAUUAAGAAUGAAUAUUCAUUCAUUCAAAACAGAAAUUGCAGCCAAGAUCCGUAACUCUCCUUCUCCAUUUCUCUCCAAAUUUCACAUGUCCAUAACUUUCUCGUUUCUCAACGAAAUUGAGCGAUUCUUGCGGCCACGGAACGAGAAAACGAUUAUCUACAGAUAUGUGGCAUCAAUUUGAGUGAGUUUAUAAGCUUAAAUUGGAUGCAAAAUGAUGAUGGAGAUAAGGUUUUCAAGGUGAAAUUGAGCUUUAAUGGAGGAUUGUUCAUGAUGAAUUGAAGCUUGGAAACUUCGGCCAUGGAGUAUCUUUAAGAUCGGACGAGCGACUAUCGAAAAGGUUUGAGGCAAACGGAUCGAGAUAUCGUCAUAAUUAUUUGAAGAAUUUGGAUAGCAAGUGGGAUAGCAUGAUAUUAUUUGGAAAGUCAAGCUUCCGAAGUUUUAAUUCUCGGAAGUCAUUUGCACAAGAAGUGAAAGAAGGUUUUCAUUCUAGCAGUCCGCAGUAGUCUAGAUGUUUUUGUCUAUGUAUUUGACUAGCGCAUUUUAACUCUGAUAUUUUUGUAAAAUGGGGUCACAUGUAUUUUGAUAAAUGAAAAAAAUGAUUUGAUU
Molecule: long non-coding RNA, 4820 nt
Organism: Mercurialis annua (annual mercury)
Lineage: Eukaryota; Viridiplantae; Streptophyta; Magnoliopsida; Malpighiales; Euphorbiaceae
Exons: 9
Source: RefSeq, a predicted model, not a curated record